RNAcentral lists this long non-coding RNA (3662 nucleotides) under Homo sapiens (human). RNAcentral describes it as "HSALNT0197557". The record is from RNAcentral. Lineage: Eukaryota; Metazoa; Chordata; Mammalia; Primates; Hominidae.
CCUAGAUGUUAAUUAUCCCCUUUUCUCAGUUAUUUGCGAGACUGAGUCUCCAACCAUGAACCCAAGCCAGGCCCCCACAUUUCUUAGAAUCAUUCCCCAGGAGCUGGGCCAGGAACUGUGGCAUCAGCCAGGCCCACAUGCUGGAUGCUCCCCUGGUUGACUCCCCCUCAUUCACCAUGGUGGGUCUCUAGACAUGAGGCCACCCCAGGCCCUGCACGUGAGUCAGCUGAUGGGAUAGCGUUCAGUCUUAGCCCUUUGAGCAUGGGCCAGCCUGGACAUGAGGCUCUUGAAGCUGCAGGGCUUGGUGCCUGAGCCUCUGGAGAAGUGCUGCUGCAAACUGGAGAGGAGACAGUGGAGGCAGCUUCCGGAGGAAAGCUGGAGAGAUGCCAGGAGUGCACGGCAGGCAGCCCUGGCUCUCAGGGGAGGGUUGCAACUCUGUCCAGAAGGGAUUAUUAACCGUUCUCAGGUGGCGUCUUAGCCUAUCAAGACCUGGGCAUCCUGGCCCAGUCCUCUUGGCAGUUCCUCUAAGAGACUAGUCGUGUUCUCCCGAGACAACCCGGGAUCGAUCCCGUCUCACAGCCCCAUGCAGGGUCGGCAAUGCUGCCCAGGCUCCGGUUCUCUCGCACCUGAGAUCUCCGUGUUAGGAAGGAGGCUUCUCCUGCCUGACACACCCGGCCUUCUGUGCAACAUGCCGUUUGGUCUGAAUUCAUCAAAGAACCCAAAGCUGAGCUGGGCUCAGGACUGACGUUAGAGCUGCACACACUGGCAUCUCACUGUGAGGAAACGGGGCCAACCAGACCAUGUCCCUAGAGUCCCAAAUCCCAGGUUCAUAUCCCCACUACACUUUCUUCUGACUGACAGCUCGCCCAGGCUUGGGUGGUGGGUAAAACCGGAGGGAGACGGAGGCAGUGCCGGGUGCCUCUGGAAUGCAUCCACCAGGGCCUCUCAGGGGCAAGAGAGGGAAUACCCAUUCAACCCGGAUUAGAGCAUGCAGGAGCCUUCCCGACUCCUUUCACCAGCCAGAAUGAGCAGGACUGAGAGGCUGAAAAUGUCCACAUCCAGUUUUCCUGGUCCAUCUCCGGGCUCAUUGUCCCUUGAUUCGUUUAUGUGAUGACAGCGCCUGUGUUCUUUUACAUAAUUCCAGCCCCUGUGUUAGUUUAUAUUAGGACAGUCCCUUCACUAGCUUAUCUAGGGGCGGGGUCUUCCCUGCAGGUGGCCACUCCACCUCCAGCCCACACCGAAGGACUCAGAUCUAGCAAUAAAGGAGCUCGUUCUGGGACCACCCACACCAGUCUUAGGACUCUGAUUGGACCCACACAGGUCACGUGCACGUUGUGAACCAACCACUAUUGAGUUCAGGGGCUCGGGACUGUGAUUGGCCCUGCCAGGAAACCAACAUGACAAUCAGAGGCCGUUAGUGCAGAGGGGCAAGCCUGGCACCACAAGGUGGGGAAGCUUGCUGUUGGCUCCCUCACUACCUGUCCUGGCUGGCUGAGUUCCUGGGAACUGGGAGGUCACAGAGGUGCCGCCCCUUCCUGAUACCCACAAGGAAACAGUGUAGCUUCUCAUUCCCCAAGUGCCCUAGAGCCUGUGUAGGGGCCCAAGCCCUGGGCGGGACCAUGGGAACAGGACCGUGGGAACAAGACCAUGGGAACAGGACCAUGGGAACUGGAUCGUGGGACCGAGACCGUGGGAACGGGACCAAGGGAACAGGACAGCCUGCAGGGCUGGAUCCCCGGCUGAGACCCCACUCAGUGAUACACCUGGCCUCCUAUGUGGAGAGGAGGGCUCAGCCCCAGUGGGAGUCAGGGUCCCGGACUGCCCUGUUCUUGGGUCCUGCCUGUGAAUUCUAGGGACUCAAGUCCAAUUUGCUCUUUUGUCCUGGAGGGAUUUCCAGCUGUGAUUCCCGGAAGAAGUGGGUGGUGGGUUUUACCUGCGUGACUCCAGAGGUCGUGUUACUUCAUCCCAGGCACUGCACCUGUCUCCUGGAUCUGAUUUGCUUCUCAUUUGUCUGUGCCCUGCCUCUGGCUACUGGGGACUGUAGACAGUGAGAGGCGUAGGGAAGCUCAGGCUGAGAAUGGAGCCAUUUCCCAGCAUCACCCUCACUCUCAGGAAAGGGUGUGGAGCUCUAGAGAAUGGUGGUGGGGGUGCCAUCUGACAGAAAGCUGUCCUUGCUCUGGUGAGACAUCUCUGACCUUUGGGAACCAGCCCUCCUCAACUAUCAUCCUACCUGGGGCACAUAGCCCAGGCCAGGCCCAUACAUCACACACAUGCGACCACAGUACCUGGCACCUGGCUCAGGGGUGAGCACAGGGUGUGUGUGUGUGUGUGUGUGUGUGUGUGUGUGUGUGUGUGUGUGUGUGUGUGUGAGUGAUAGAGAGAGAGGAGAGAAUAUAUUCUGGGGAGGUCAGGUAGAGCCCAUUGAUCUAGCCAAGCCUGCACUUUUCAGAUACAUUAAAACAUAAAUCACUUUUUUUCCAGACCUGGUUUCUGAUUUGCCCAUGCUCUAUCUCCUUCAGCAGGCAUCCCACUGCUACAUGUCUGGGGAGCCCAGUGUGCUGGGUAGGGGUCUAGGCCCUGCCCCUGCCUGAGUGGUCUUAAGGAACCAGGUCUCCCACCAGACCUGUUCCCCCUGUGUCUCUGGGGGGCUGAGGUGAUGCUGUCUUCACCUCAUCUGCUCUGAAAGCCCAUACCCUGGUGAUUUGGGCAGUGCCCCUUCCUAUCCAGGCUGUGACUCUCUGCUUUCUCUGGAGGUUGGAACGCAGCUGGGGGAGAGGUGACCAAGAUCUAGGUGGCCCUUCCUCCUGCCUGUCCUCAGCUCCAUCCCAGACUUGAGUGGUGUGUCUUCCCAAGCCCUCUGGCCAGAGAAUUCAUGCACACCUGCAGGGGCAACCUUGGUAGCCACCCCCUGCCAUGGAGCGUGGACAAAGCCCAGGUGGGUACAGCUCUUUACUUUCCUGCAUGUGGAGGAUGCAGGUAAUGCAGCUGCCUCUGAAAACCCCAGGAUCUACACACUCCCCUAGGGACAAAGAUUCCAUCUGCUGCAGACCCCUGGCAGCUUUAGAUCAUUGGGGGUAGGGAGAUGAGAGUCUAGUGUUACAGGAAAUUUCAUUCUUUCAAAUCCAGAGUGUCCAAGAAAGUUUUAUGUAAUGAAAAGAAAAAAGUCAGGUCUGUUUCAACAGACAAACCAGAUUUAUCCAAAAAGGAAAAGGUAAAGUUCACAUGUCGUAGUCUAGGUACCUUCUCACAGGGACAUGAGAUAAUGUGGCCAUGAAAAGACUUAGGUCAGUUAAACCUGAGCUCAUGUCUUUACUCUGAAACCUUGUUGCUGUGUGACCUUGAUUGAGUUGCUUACCCUCUCUGUGCCUUUCUUGUCUGUAAAAGGGUGAAAUGGCAAGCCUUAUGAUAUGGUUUGGCUCUGUGUCCCCCCUACCCAAAUCUCAUCUCAAAUUGUAAUCCUCAUGUGUCAAGGAAGGGACCUGUAAUCCCCAUUUGAUGAGGGAGGAUGGUGAUUGGAUCAUGAGGGCAGUUUUCCCCAUGCUGUUCUCAUGAGAGUGAGUGAGUUCUCGCUGGUUGUUUGAUAAGUGUUUGGCACUUCCCCCUACUCGCUCUCUCUCUCCUGCCGCCAUGUAAGAUGUGCCUUGCUUCCUCUUCCCCUUCUG